RNAcentral lists this ribosomal RNA (837 nucleotides) under uncultured Tenacibaculum sp. Its description in RNAcentral is "bacterial SSU rRNA". It matches the Rfam family "Bacterial small subunit ribosomal RNA", at positions 23 to 862 of the family's 1533-position model. Lineage: Bacteria; Pseudomonadati; Bacteroidota; Flavobacteriia; Flavobacteriales; Flavobacteriaceae. The record is from RNAcentral.
CUCAGGAUGAACGCUAGCGGCAGGCUUAACACAUGCAAGUCGAGGGGUAACAGGUAGCUUGCUAUGCUGACGACCGGCGAACGGGUGCGUAACGCGUAUAGAAUCUGCCUUGUACAGGAGGAUAGCCUUUAGAAAUGAAGAUUAAUACUCCAUAAUGUUAAUGAAUGGCAUCAUUUAUUAAUUAAACAUUUAUGGGUACAAGAUGACUAUGCGUCCUAUUAGCUAGAUGGUAAGGUAACGGCUUACCAUGGCAACGAUAGGUAGGGGGUCUGAGAGGAUUAUCCCCCACACUGGUACUGAGACACGGACCAGACUCCUACGGGAGGCAGCAGUGAGGAAUAUUGGUCAAUGGAGGCAACUCUGAACCAGCUAUGCCGCGUGCAGGAUGACUGCCCUAUGGGUUGUAAACUGCUUUUAUACAGGAAGAAACCGAUCUACGUGUAGAUCCUUGACGGUACUGUAAGAAUAAGGACCGGCUAACUCCGUGCCAGCAGCCGCGGUAAUACGGAGGGUCCAAGCGUUAUCCGGAAUCAUUGGGUUUAAAGGGUCCGCAGGCGGUCAAUUAAGUCAGAGGUGAAAGCCCAUCGCUCAACGAUGGAACUGCCUUUGAUACUGGUUGACUUGAGUUAUACGGAAGUAGAUAGAAUAAGUAGUGUAGCGGUGAAAUGCAUAGAUAUUACUUAGAAUACCGAUUGCGAAGGCAGUCUACUACGUAUAUACUGACGCUCAUGGACGAAAGCGUGGGGAGCGAACAGGAUUAGAUACCCUGGUAGUCCACGCCGUAAACGAUGGAUACUAGUUGUUGGGUUUCGACUCAGUGACUAAGCGAAAGUGAUA